This is a non-coding RNA of Coturnix japonica (Japanese quail), 11333 nucleotides long. Lineage: Eukaryota; Metazoa; Chordata; Aves; Galliformes; Phasianidae. The record is from RefSeq and is a predicted model, not a curated record.
UGAAGUCAUGGUGUAGAGAUAGAUACAGCUUGCAAGAUCUUCUUCAUGUUCCUCUCCCUCCUGCACCAGUUUGCAGCAAAACACACCAAACACACAGAUGUGCAGUGACAUUUUUAAAUCAUGAACUGAUUUGUAAGGGUAUGCAAAGAGAAUAUUAAGCACUCAUAGCUACUGUUCAGGCCAGGCCUUGUAUUUUCUUUACAUGUACUAAUGCUAAAAAUACAACGAGGCAAAUUUCUCAAGCAUGGCCAGUUUGGAUGGGAUUGUUUUUUCUUCCUAAAAUGAAAUGUAGUUUGGUUGAAGGUCUUGCUUCUUUGUCAAUAAUUAAACAGCCCUGCACUUGUUGAGGCAGCCCUGAACGUAGACACCGGGAUCAGCCAGCCUUGACCACAAGAGGAUAAAACAUGCUGCCCCCGUCUACAGAAUGGAUAUUUUUUUUUUCAGAGAACAGAAGUCCUUUUACUAUUAACCCUGUCAACUUCACUGGUGAAAGAAGGCCUUUCCAGAUAAUGGGACAUUUGCCCAAAGAAGCUGUGGAGUCUCCUCCUUGGAGUGCUUCCAAAGCCACCCAGAGGUGGUCCGAGCACCCUGCAUGGGGUGUCCCUGCUGGAGCAGGGGUUGGACCCGAUGACCUCCAGAUGUAAGGAUCUCAACUCGCUCUGUGACCCUGUGAUCUCACGAUGCUAGGCAGACAUGAGCACUGAAGGAGCUGCUUGGACCUCGUCUGCUUUGAGUACGGUUUCAUGUGAGGGUGCUUCCCAGAAACAAACCAGGCACAGCUGGUUUCUGCUUGGCCUUUGAGCACUCAGACUGCUGAGAAAGCUCCAAGCUGCACCGGUGUUGUGAGAACCAGGAAAAAAAAGGAUAAAACACAAAAGUGAAAGUCACUUUAAACCAAAGAAAUUAUUUUGUGGAAAGGGCCCUGUGAAUACAGACCAGGGCUACUGAUGCCCUGUACUGUGAUCCUCAGUCACCUGCUGGAGGCCCAAGCAGUGACCACAUGCUACAACCUGCUGGAGGGGCAGGUCCUGACUAACUUCACAUGAGAUAAAAGGUGAGCUCAUACCAAACUCUGAGCACAAGCAAACGGAUGUGGCACACGAGCCAGGUGGGUGCUCCUAUACUAAUUACUUUGUUUGCAUAUCAGCUUGUGUUCUUUGUGUCACUCUACAAGAACUUAGGAAAUGUGUGCCACUGUGGUUGGAGAUCGUUGUCUCUCAGCAAAGAUGUGAGAAGCGUAUGGGCAUGUAUGGCAAACGCAAAAUGAAAUGGGUUAGUUCCUUUCACGCGUGAAACUCAUCUUGCUUUGCAGUACAAGAGACUGAGAGUUUACAUGUGGCCAGUGUCUCUGUCCCAACUAAAAGAUACUUCUCUGCUGAGAAGUGGUAAGGUUUCCAGCCAUUCUAAUGUGGUUAUAAGGAUAAGUCUGGUCAUGCCCUCAUAUGUGUCUCUUUGCUUUAUCCGGCUAAGGCAGUGCCCCUUUCAGAAUGAAGGCAAGCAAUGUGACAUUUCAGGUACUACAGCAAUCUUAAUUGCAAGUCAUUCUAGUAGCUGAGGUGACUAAUGUAAUAAAUACGCAUACAUGCAUUGAUACAGACAGCACUCAUUGCAAAAAUGACUGCCAGUCAUUUCUCUAACCAGAAUGUACUAUGAUGUGUACUCUGCUGUUGAAGUUUUAGUGGCGCCUCCGAAUGCCAUACAGCUAGGCCUCACACUUAAAAAUAGCAGCAAGGUAUGAAUAAGUGCUGUUUGGUUCAGCAGGAAAGAAGAAAACAUCACCUCAGUAGGAACAGAUGAGUCUGGUUAGGUUUUAUUUCUCUCACUGAAAAACUGAAAAGAAAUAGCCAUAUUUCAUAAUGAAAAUUGCAUCUAAUUGAAAGCGAAACAUUCAAGCACCCAAAAGAGAAGUGAGAAGAAGGGAUCCCAUUUGCAGGGGGACAGCAGAGCUGAGAGAAGAGCGGAGCCCUGUAGUCUGGUGGCCAGCAGGGCACAGCCCUGUGCUGUUCUGGGGAAGGAGUGGGCUCAGUGAGUGAAAGAUGCUAACAUGACCUAGACACUCUGCAACAUUAAACACUUAAAAAGGUUUGGGGUUUUGAAUACGAAGACCUCAGACUAAUUGGUUACCGUGGCAAACAAUCACCGGUAGAAGUCUUUUAACCUUUAAUUAAAGAUAGACAAAAAAAAAAAAAAAAAAAAAAAAGGAGGAAAAACAGUUUAAGCACUUGAAAAAUAAGACUUUUAAAGUGUCCAUUAUUCCCCUUCCCUUAGCUGUCAAUAGUUUUUGUAGCAGUGCUUCCCUUCCCUUUAUUUAAGUUCAUAGCAGCACUCCCUGUUUUGGGGAAGAGACACUCAUUGAGAUAGACUGGAUCUGCUGUUGGUAUUCAUUUUGGGAUUCCGUUCUGCUGACUUGAAAACACAUGUAUGCAGGAGGGGAGAGAAAAGAAGAGCAAAGACCAAAAAAUAUGACUUCCUCUUCAGGUGUUGACUUUUACUUGCAGCCUCACUGCUAGAAAAAGACAAGUACAACACAUGGACUUAUCAGCCCCUCUAAGAUCAAGGGGAUUUAUACCAGCGACUGUCUCAUUUAGACAUAGCUUUUAGUUGUCUCCUUGAUUGCAGUUCAGAGCAGUGUUCUACAACCUGUACUCUCCUAUCUAGGAUAGUUUGAUUAAAAGGAAGGUAAAAGAAAGAAAAGGCAGAGAGGCAUGUAAAAAGACUACAGAGCUUCUGAGAGCAGGGUGACUUCAAGACCCCAAGUCUUCCCUUCCAAGUGGAUUUCCAGGACUGCACUGAAAUUGGUAGACAGAAAGAUGACUUCCAGGUAUCUCCUCGCCAGAAACUCACCAGAAGCUCUGAUCAGAUCAAGUAAGUAAAUACCAACAGUGUCACAGCGGAGACUGAGGUCUUCAAGUUGACAACAACUGUCAUCAUUUCUCCUUUCUGUCCACUUUUGCUAGGAUCAGUAUCAAAAUGGAUGUACCCCAGAGGAUGGUAUACACGCCACUGGUCACCAGUUGGCUUUAGCUUCUGGCACAUGAGUUUUGGUCCAUUGAUUUUGGCAUUUAUCUUGUACAUCAGGCCUGACAUCAGCGUAGUCCUUGGUUAAUAUUAGGAAGACUUUCAGAUUGAACUGAUUUGGUCUUCCUAUCUUUAACUUGUGCUGACUUCUCCAAGUAAUUUUCUCCAGCAGACUGAGCUGCACUUUCUCACUUCUGUGAACUUUAGCACAUGGGUUUGCCUGAUGUGCUCGUGUAGAGUGUAUAAUGCUCUCUUCUGCUUCCUUGUCUACCUUUUUUCUUUUCCAGGAGAAUACCACAGUCACGAGAGCAGGGGUACCCUGGGAGAGGCUCUGCCAAUGGCACUUUCAUAUUCCUUAAUAGUGCAAUACUCAUUAGCACAGACUGGGGAAGCUGGGUGAAUCAUGUCCAUGAGUGUCUCUACUAGGGUCUGGAAAGACCAUCUGCACAGAUCAAGACACAUCAGUGGUGAGGAGUAAGAACAACCCACCUUAGUAUGCAGCACAGCACAACCUUAUGGCAUUCUCUUGGGAGAUAAGCGAUGCUAGCUCUAGUUCCCCCAGGCAGAGGAGGAAAUUAAACCCAGGACUCCCCCAUCCUUUAUGAGUGAAUAAAAAGUGGCUGUCUUCCUCUCAGCUUUGUGAAUAUAAUCAUGAUUUUUUUUUUCCAGGGAAGCAAUUUGGUAAGUGCACACCAAAUUCAACAAUCAUUUUGGGACAAUGGAAAAAAAGGCAUUUUUCAGUGAGAAGGAUACCGGCUAAAAAAACAUUCUCUUGACUGUAGUGACAGUACAGCCAGACAGACCUCAUCACUCUGCCACUUUAUAUCCAGCAGCUGUGGGACAGGAGACUCUUGUACUUGCAGACAACGGAAGAACUUACCUGGCAAUAAGAAAUCUUGCUAGGAAAAAAGGGUUGUGUGGGAGUAAUGAAAUCCUCUGGGAAUGGCGGAUGAAACCUGAACACUGGUGGGGCUGCCUUGAGUUCUGACACAAUUGCCACACUGCAUAAGAAAAACCUGCAGAGAACAGACUCGCUCUGAGGGCUGAGAUGUGACCAGUGUCCCAGUUAUUAUUAGGUACUAAAGGUCUGAAAAGGUUCAAACUCCAUCUUUGUAGGAAUUCAAAGAAGGGGAUGUUUGAGGCCUUGCUGACAGCUUCCAGACUGAAAAAGAAAGCAGAGGAAAAAGGGGCAUUUCUCUGGCCUUCCUUGGUGAUUGCUCAGAACUACGUCUACUGAUGGCUGUGUCCAACAAUGAGAAGAAGAGCCAAGAGAAGUCAAAAUCUGCGGGAUGUGAUGGUCUGCUAGUUCAGAAAAGCCACCUGGAGAAACAAAAACAAAUGUCAGACAGCUGUGAGUGGGAGAAAUGCUAUUGUUUUCCUGGUAGUCCGUCCUCCUAGUCUUCUGAGAGAAGCGGGUGAGCGUGUGUUUGUGUGUGUGAGUAUGCUGGGAAUAAGUAAUCAAGGAAACAUUCAAGGAACGGGCAGCGUUCAGAGCCUCGUGGUUGAGCAAGUGCGUGGCAAACAGUGUCAGCUGCUGGUUACUGCUCCACCCUGCAUUUCCCCUCUUCUGCAGGAAUGCACUUGCAGACGUGCUCCUCCUUUUGCUGCUCAGCGUUCAGAGCUGCGGAUGACAAACUGGUGACCUCAGCAAGAGGCAAAACCGGAGCUGCAGAGGGGUAGCAGAAUCAAUUUGCCAUGGUUAUGCCUCCUGCCAAUUGUUUAGAAUUUCCAGGAUUUAAUCUUUCAUCCAUGUGUGUACCCACUAUUUACCUUUGAAUGAGAUAAUGCAUAAUGCAUUGGGCUGUAUGGAAACUAACCAUGAAAAACCACUUUUUUUGAAGAAGAAGAAGAGAAAAUUGCACUCUCCGUCCGUGGCCUGGAAAAAAUAGUGCUGAUGUUACAGCAGCAGUGAAGGCAGAGGAAUGGACAGUUUAACUUCAUACGUACAUCUACGGAGCCUCAAAGAGUCAGAAUCAGCAGAGGUCUUUUAAGAGGUUUUCCUGUCUGAGAGCACACCCACAGUGGAGCUGCUCACUUCUGGCCUAUCUGAUGGUAUUUGGCUAACUGUGACAGAGGCAUAAAUGAACAGCAGAGAGGUCAAGGGCAUGGAAUUCAGUGCACAGAUUGGAUCGAACUCCAACAUGCUACGUUGCACCAGGAGAUGGAAAAAUUGCCCGUGGCUUGCUAAGCUAGCUCUCCUCCUCUUAGUCUGUGGUUAAUCCACUGUCCUUCCUUUACAGAGUUGCCAAAGAAGCGGAGAUAGCACAAGGAAGCUUAAAACUUUGCUUUUAAAAGCAUCAGUCCUUAAUUGUCCUAUUUGGAAAAGAAAGCUGUAAUGUGAGGAACACCUAAGGAGGGCUCCCUUACAGUUGUCCCUGUGGGAUAAAAGACCAUGUUGUGCUACAUUUUUCUGGAAAGGCUCUUCCUUUAUUCUUAAUUCUUGAAAACUGUAAAUCUCUGUCUUCUCCUCUAGGUACAAAUGAGGGGGAAUUGUUACAGUCACUGUGGGAACAGAACUGGAAAACCAGCCUAAGAGUGAAGAGACUCAGGACAACAGAAUGAUGACAUUGUAUCACGGAGCAGAUGGUCCCGAUGAAGGUGUAUCUUCCACUGAGUAAUCAUUCAUCAGUACAUGAAUGUGCUGUUUGAAGCCACCUCAUCAUUUAAAAUCAAUAAUUUGUCUUUCAGAACAGCUUUUUAUGUAGGGAAAGGCCAGAUGUGAAUAUUAUCCAAGGCAGGAAAGUCAUCCUGAACUUCACCUCCUAUUAGGUAGCUGGUUCUCUUCUAAUCCAUCUGACUGGGGAAGGGAUGGGAACACUAAGCUGGAUCUGAGCUGCACACAGAGGAGCUCCUGUAUCUGCAUGCAGACCUUCUGAUUCCACAGGGGAUCUACACAGGCCUCACAAGCUUGGUUUGACUUGGGCUUGAGAAAGCUGAGUGUAUUAGCCUCAAAUAAAGGAGAGUAAUUUCUACAGGGAGAGCAAUCAGUGAGAGACUGCUAAAGGGAAAUAUGGAUCUCUGAUUCUGGCAGGAGAUGAGAGUAACCUCCUAAAAAAGUCUCCCUGCAGAAGGCAGUUUUUAAAAUGACCUUGAAGAAAGAUACAGCAAUUUAAUCUGUCUCUGAUGAGGGUUUUUGCAGAGCCUCUUGCAAUUUCAUGCAUGUUGGCUGGACAAUCCUGCCCUGACAAAUGCCCUAGAAUGCCAGAGAUGCAGAGAGCUUCUGACUCUUCCAUUGGACUUGAGAAGGAUUUAAAAAAAGAUAUGGCUCUUGAAAGACAGGAUAAAUUGUGGCCCACAGAGAGGAAGACUGGCAAGGCAUCCCUAUUAUGUUGUAAACUGGCAGCUGUAGGCCCUGAUAGAACAGGGAUUGGUGAAUGAGCGGAAGAAUAAUUCUGAUGAGUGAAAGAAAAUGUUGUGGAGAAAUCUUCAUAAUGCUGGGCAGAGGAUUAGCGGGUGGAGUGCUUUCAUGCCCAACACAGGUCUAGAGAAGGUCUUCAGAGGACCAAGUUCAGCCAAUUCUGGCCAUUUAUCAUUUUCCCUUAAUCACCCAGUCAAGGUGACCAAGUAGCUUUGUCCAGCCCUUCUUCUGCCAGGCGCGCUACUGAACAUCACAUUUGAGAACACUCUGUUUAAUGCCAAGUGUUUUGUUUUAUUUUGUUUCCUUCUAUGCAUGAAAAUAAAUGAAUCAGCCCUCUGAGAGGGGGCUUGGGAGUAUCUGCUUCUCCACGCUGCACACAACUUUCUGCAACAUAGGAAAAAUGGGAUACAGUGGUGUUCAGAGCUCACAGAUACCCACAAACCAAAGACCGGCUUAGACGCAGUCUUAGCUAGAAGAGUACUUACUACUUUCCUCUUUUCCCUUUUCUAUAUGCACUGGCUAUGUUUCAGGUAGCCAAUAUCUGCCCUACAAUGGUGCCUCAGUGCAGCUUUACUAUGUACUUUGUACUUACUCAUUCUUCCCUUGCAGUGAGGCAGUGGGAACACAUAUCCCAGGGGUUGGAGCCUGGGGCAAGUAGGAAUUAAGACAGUUCCUGUAGUCUUGAAAAGAGAAUGUUAGGGUAGAACCCUUCCGUCCUACUGUCACCUUGCACUAGACAACAACUGUGAUGUCUGGUCUCAGUCAAGAAUGAUUAAUGAAUGAUGUGUGUUUGUCCCUAGCAGAUGCUUGUAGUAACUGUGUUGGCCAGUGUUUGGAGUGAAAUAAAAUACAGCAUGUAACAGACAGAGGCACUUGCAUUGAAGAUGAGUCACACUGCAUCACUUCUUUCAUUUUUUUUUUCAGGGAAGGAGGAUUUGACCCUCACUGAGUGAAGGAGUUGCUGAUUUAGUCAAGUCAAGAACAGGAUGCGACGCUUUGGUCUAGUGCAUUGACAUUUGCAUCUCUGAGUGAGAUCGCUUGUUUUCAUUGGAGGAAUGGCAAGGCUGCCUUUUAAAACAUUUAAAGGUAGAGUGUCAUAAGCCAUGUAGCUGUGAAGACUUGAUUGGAGGGAAUGAAUCCACUGAAGGAUCUGCAGAACAGGAACAACGAAGGCCCUGGCAGCAUGAACUUCCCUGUGUAGUACAGUACACAGUGAUCAAGUUUUGACAUUUGCCUCUGUGAGAAGAGAAGUGAACACUCACUAACAACGGGAUGGUCCCAGCUCACCUCUGACUGAGUUUGCAGGGGAACAUGCAGAGAAAACCAGGAGUUUGAAGAGGCUGCUCGCUGGCAAACCAGACCACAGCAUUUGCUACAGCGGUCGUAGAUCAGGCUGCUCACAGAAAGGGGCCCUUGUCUGAAGAUUCCCACUCAAGUCCCAUUGACUUUAUGGAUAGUCCUCGGGAUCUUGUCUGAGCACAUCCAAAUGUUUGUACAGCACCUGAUGCAAACAGGCCGUCGUCCUGCUUCAUUUGUCAAAUGAUAAAUAACAUAAUAAUGCUGUAAUUGAAGUCAUUCAUACAGACAGUAAUCAUCUGGUGAUUCAGUGCAGCGCAGACUUGCUAGGUGGAAGGCUGUGCUAAGCUUAUGCAGAGACUUCUAUCUUGCUCAUCAGUUUCUGCACGCUAAAUAUAUUCUGAAUUUACGAAUGCUGAAGUUUUAAGGUGAGAUUUUCUAUGCUUGGGCUCAACCCAAAAAUGAUUCAUUUCCGUAAUGCCAGAAGAAAACUGUUCAGGCACUUAUGAGUUAUGUAAGACUGAAAGACAAGGUAUUGAUAAUGUUGCUAUUAACAGCAGAAUCAAGACUCCCUGACAGCGCCUAUAAUAAUAUUUUUUUAUUUAUUGAGCAAGGAAGCAGCAAUGCAGAGGGAGGUAGAAGGCAGGAAACUUCACAGAGUUUAUGCCUGCCAGCGAGCAGCACUUGGUCCUGAAAUCAGGCUCUGGCAAUGUGCAGUGCACGGCAAAAAUACUUGAAUUAAUGCCUAAGACCUUGCUGAUACAUACCUCAUAGUUAAUCUGGUUACGCGGGGUUUAUUUCACAGUCGGAAGUUCUUGCGCUGGAAGGGAGUCCUGCUGGGGUUUUCUGAGCACACGAUGGAAUUAAUGAAUGCACAAAUGCAGCUUGCCAGCCUAGAUUUAAAUUGCUUACUAGAUCAAAAUCUGCUCGUUUUCUCUGUCUUUUUUUUUUUUUUUCCCCUUCCCCAGCCUCUCUGUCCUUUAUUUAUUAAUUUGUUUAGGGAAACAUAUCAAGAGCACAGAAAGUGCCCGUGGACGUCACCAAGGCAGUGAAUGCAGAUAAAUGGUUGUUUUUUCAUGCUGGCCUGAAUCCUAGCACGAUGCCUUGAGCUGUGCUUCUGGGCAUGGGGUAUCCUUGCAGGGGCUGGUGGGUGGCUGGUGCUGGCUGGGGAUGCGAGGAGCUGCAGCCACCAGCAAUCCUUUUCUGCAGCCCCUGGGAAAAGGAUGGCAUUACGAGCCCUGCUCUGAAAGGACAGGCAGUAAACCUGGGCUGCUUUGCAGGAAGGGUCACGUUCUUUCUAUCUUUUGGAUCCCUGCUUCCUCUUGUCAGAUUUUAAUGGGUGCUUGCAAAUAGCGUAAUAUUUUGAUUUAUUUGGCCACCGGGCAGAUCUCCAGCCUGCUGUCUUGACUGUGGCGUUUGUAUUUUAAUAGGAGUUUUAAGAAGGCUUGGCUAGGGGUAUUUAAGGUAGUCCCUGAGCUUUUAUGUAGACUUCCUCAGCCGUGAUUAGAAGCGCAGCGCUGCAGAGAUGCAGAGGCAGAUUUUUAGGAUGUGGAGACACAGAGAUUCUGCAAGUGUGCCUUCACUGAUGCCCUCCUAACGCCUCUUUCAGAUGAGCGAGCUCAUCUCCCACUGCCCGUUGCAUCCCUUUCACAUCCCAGCCUCUGGACUCCUUAACACUGCGUCCAACCGUGCUGCGCAAGGCCAGGAUGAAGGCAGCCCUUGCUCCUCCCUGAGCCUCUCAGGCUGAGCAUGGUGGAAGGAAGGAUGCCUGCUCACCCCUCCCAGCUCCCCAGCACCUGCUUUGCAGGGCUGGACGCCUCCCUCCCGGCCCUGGCGCUGGGAUGUGCUGCAAGGAGGUAAUGUAUGGAUGCAUGGAGCUCAAGGCAGCGAGACGUCUCCCCGGACUCCUGUCUGCAUGCUCAUGAGCAAAGGGGAUAGGAGACAAAUGUGGCUCCUUCAAGGUGAAGGGCAGCGGUGGCAUGAAGGAAAAGUAGCCUGUGCUCUGUGCUGAAGCCAGGAGACCCUCCUGAAAAUUUACUGCUUUUCAUUUUUAAUGACGUCUUAGAUGGGAAUUUCAGAGCUCGUGAAAACAGGAGGCUGAUAAAUGCUGCAGGGUUAAUCAAGAGAAAGCCUGCCAACGUAUCCAGGUGUCCUGAGCUGCACUAUCACUGCUCUUCCUCACCUUUUUCCCUCUGUGCUGCAGAGACAGCCUGAGCAGGGAUGGAUGGUUAUGCUGCAUGGUGCACUGCAGGCACUGCAUUAUUCACCAGGUUUCCUUGGCUCAUCGAAAGACUUGACUGUGAAUUUGUCUCCAGGUCUUCAGCUUUGCAAGCCCAGUGUCCCCACACAGCUUUGCCUGCUGCUGGCUUAAACCUGCCUGUUUGGACCCUGAUCCCAACAAGAAGGAUAAAGCAGGGCGAGCGCCAAGGGGCAUUUCUGCUGUACAACAUCUCAAAGGAAGCAGAAGAUCUUCCAGAGAUGCAAAUCUGCUUUGACUUGCAAGAUUCAACUCUCCAUUGAAUGAGGAGCUGAAGAAGUCACCCUGUUUGGACUUUGAAGGGUCAUGGUGGCCACCUAACUGACCCUUUUGGUGGGGCAGUUUAAUCCCUGAAAUGGUACAAUGGCCCCAGGCCAUUGCCCCAGUCACAGCACGGAAGCAGCUAAAGCAAGGAUGUGUGAUGACUAGGAUGGGUGGAUGGAUGGAUGGAUGGAUGGAUGGAUGGAUGGAUGGAUGGAUGAAUGGAUGGAUGGAUGGAUGAUUUUAAAAGGCACCUUGGAGCCCAGCACGUCACCAACUCCGCAGCUCUUUGGUUCCAGGUUUCAUCAUGAAACCCUUCAGAGACAUUGAGCUGCAUGUAGCAGCCUCCCUUCCUUGUCCUGGGGGCAGCUGGAGGACACACUUGGAGAAGGGAAGCUCCCAACCCCACGGCUACCCGUGCACCUUGGAAGAGGGCAGGCUGUGCCCAAGUGAUAAACGAUUGCAAAGUAGUCCAUUAAUUCAGGAGCAAAGAUACAAAGAACAGCCCAUCAGAGCUUCAAACUUCACCAUUUUGCUGUACCAAGCCGCCCUUGAAAUGCUAAUUAAAACGAGCUUGGGGAGAGGAGACUGCUAACAGGAUCACAGCCUCUCUUGGAUCCAGCAAUAGACAUGUAGUAGGCAUCCAUGUUUCCCCCGUAAGCUUAUUUUCCAAGCUGAGUUGACUGUAAAUGUUGCGGUAAUGUGAAACCCACACAGGGAGCGGGAUGCAAACACAAAGCAGAAAGAGACGCGAGGCCUAGUCAAGGAGCUGGAACAGAAAAAUACAUGGCAGCCUUCGGCAUAUAAAUAAAUAACUGCCCGAAAUGAGGGCUAAUUAACUUGCAAUAAACCGACUUAACCACUUAGGGGCAGCGUUAACACGGAGUUAACAUGCAAAACAAACCUGUGUGUUCUCACCUGGUUAAUUUAAUAUGCACCCUGAAUAUUCAUCAUGUAUCAAAUACCGAUACAUCCACGCACUGAGUGAUGUGGUCUGUCAAACCCGGGAACGUGAGAUAAUAGGGGUAACUCAGUCGCUGCUGCGCAGUGUUAACUUUGAUCAUUUGGUGCUUCUAAACACAUCCAUAGAUGUAGGACUUUGCUUCUUUUCCUCUGUCAGGGUCACAGAGUAUGUUCUAUACA